This 157-nucleotide ribosomal RNA is filed under the name Chaetomium umbonatum. Its description in RNAcentral is "5.8S ribosomal RNA". It matches the Rfam family "5.8S ribosomal RNA". Rfam says of the family: 5.8S ribosomal RNA (5.8S rRNA) is a component of the large subunit of the eukaryotic ribosome. It is transcribed by RNA polymerase I as part of the 45S precursor that also contains 18S and 28S rRNA. Lineage: Eukaryota; Fungi; Ascomycota; Sordariomycetes; Sordariales; Chaetomiaceae. The record is from RNAcentral.
AAACUUUCAACAACGGAUCUCUUGGUUCUGGCAUCGAUGAAGAACGCAGCGAAAUGCGAUAAGUAAUGUGAUUGCAGAAUUCAGUGAAUCAUCGAAUCUUUGAACGCACAUUGCGCCCGCCAGUAUUCUGGCGGGCAUGCCUGUUCGAGCGUCAUUU